RNAcentral lists this transfer RNA (76 nucleotides) under Promethearchaeota archaeon. RNAcentral describes it as "Candidatus Lokiarchaeota archaeon (microbial mat metagenome) tRNA-Phe". It matches the Rfam family "tRNA". Rfam says of the family: Transfer RNA (tRNA) molecules are approximately 80 nucleotides in length. The record is from RNAcentral. Lineage: Archaea; Promethearchaeati; Promethearchaeota.
GCCGCGGUAGAUCAGUUGGGAGAUCGCACGGCUGAAGACCGUGUUGUCGUCGGUUCAAGUCCGACCCGCGGCACCA